RNAcentral lists this ribosomal RNA (402 nucleotides) under bacterium. RNAcentral's name for it is "partial 16S ribosomal RNA". It matches the Rfam family "Bacterial small subunit ribosomal RNA", at positions 355 to 776 of the family's 1533-position model. The record is from RNAcentral.
UGGGGAAUUUUGCACAAUGGGGGAAACCCUGAUGCAGCGACGCCGCGUGAUUUAGAAGGCCUUCGGGUUGUAAAAAUCUUUUCUAUGGGAAGAAAAUGACAGUACCAUAGGAAUAAGGACCGGCUAAUUACGUGCCACCAGCCGCGGUAAUACGUAAGGUCCGAGCGUUGUCCGGAAUCAUUGGGCGUAAAGGGUACGUAGGCGGGUAAGCAAGUUAGAAGUGAAAUCCUAUAGCUCAACUAUAGUAAGCUUUUAAAACUGCUCAUCUUGAGGUAUGGAAGGGAAAGUGGAAUUCCUAGUGUAGCGGUGAAAUGCGCAGAUAUUAGGAGGAAUACCGGUGGCGAAGGCGACUUUCUGGCCAUAACCUGACGCUGAGGUACGAAAGCGUGGGUAGCAAACAGG